Molecule: transfer RNA, 17 nt
Filed under: Okanagana opacipennis
Lineage: Eukaryota; Metazoa; Arthropoda; Insecta; Hemiptera; Cicadidae
Description: partial tRNA-Lys
Source: RNAcentral
CAUUAAGUGACUGAACG